Molecule: ribosomal RNA, 375 nt
Filed under: uncultured organism
Description: partial 16S ribosomal RNA
Rfam family: Bacterial small subunit ribosomal RNA
Source: RNAcentral
GUAGGUGGCAAGCGUUGUCCGGAAUUAUUGGGCGUAAAGCGCGCGCAGGCGGGGUCCUUUAAGUCUGAUGUGAAAGCCCACGGGCUCAACCGUGGAGGGUCAUUGGGAACUGGGGGACUUGAGUACAGAAGAGGAAAGCGGAAUUCCAAGUGUAGCGGUGAAAUGCGUAGAGAUUUGGAGGAACACCAGUGGCGAAGGCGGCUUUCUGGUCUGUAACUGACGCUGAGGCGCGAAAGCGUGGGGAGCAAACAGGAUUAGAUACCCUGGUAGUCCACGCCGUAAACGAUGAGUGCUAAGUGUUAGGGGGUUUCCGCCCCUUAGUGCUGCAGCUAACGCAUUAAGCACUCCGCCUGGGGAGUACGGCCGCAAAGGCUG